Non-coding RNA from Schistocerca serialis cubense, 73 nucleotides. The record is from the annotation of a RefSeq genome assembly. NCBI's taxonomy places the organism in Eukaryota, Metazoa, Arthropoda, Insecta, Orthoptera, Acrididae.
GUCCGGAUGGCGCAGUGGUCAGCGCAUCUGCCUAGUAAGCGCGAGACCCUGGUUCGAUUCCAGGUGUGGCACA